CGGGGUCGUUCUUGUUGUCGUCCAGCGUUUUGAAGCCUUUGGCUCGGAGAGCGCUGCGGAAGUUCCUCUUCCAGACGGAGGCCUCUCCUUGAGCUCGGCCGUUGCCGCUCACCUCCGCCCAGGCCUACGAGCGUUGACAGGAAUCCUGCCUCAAAGCGUGUUUCCAUGGGACUGAGAACUCCGUCCGCUCCGGGUUGGUCCACUGGACACCAGGAUACCUGCAGCUGUCAAUCUGAGCCCGCAGCCAUGGGAUGAGCAGCGGUUUGGAAUGAGCCAUGUCUGCGGGAGCAACAAGGAAAUCGAUAGAGUGUCGGCGCCAACGUCGGGACUCCACGUUAUCUCUCGGAAGAAUUGCUGUGUUGGCAAACACUUCAGGACCGAGUGCUGGUAAUGCCAAACUCAGCAGUUUGAAGGGAAAAGGCUGGACUUUAUAAGGUGGUGAAAGAAUUGUUUAUUUAUUUUCUAUUGGACUGUUCACAUUUCUGCCCUCCUGCUAAAUUAUUAGUGGCAGGCGGCAGCUUGGCUUCUACUGUAGUUCUGCAGUGUCCUACUGUAGCUAAACAUCAGGAAAGAGGAAGUAGAAGCACCAAACAAUAGAAGCUCAGCAUGUAUGUCAACAUAAAAAAACAGGUACAGUAAUUAUUAGUUUUUAUUCAAGGGAAACGUAUUCAAACACUGAGAAACAUGCUGAGUCAUGCUUUUCUUUCGCUGUUUGUUUUUAU
This is a long non-coding RNA of Betta splendens (Siamese fighting fish), 722 nucleotides long. RefSeq lists it as uncharacterized. NCBI's taxonomy places the organism in Eukaryota, Metazoa, Chordata, Actinopteri, Anabantiformes, Osphronemidae. The record is from RefSeq and is a predicted model, not a curated record. The transcript has 2 exons.